RNAcentral lists this ribosomal RNA (492 nucleotides) under uncultured bacterium. Its description in RNAcentral is "partial 16S ribosomal RNA". It matches the Rfam family "Bacterial small subunit ribosomal RNA", at positions 29 to 507 of the family's 1533-position model. The record is from RNAcentral.
AGUGAACGCUGGCGGUAGGCCUAACACAUGCAAGUAGAACGGCAGCACAGUAAGAGCUUGCUCUUACGGGUGGCGAGUGGCGGACGGGUGAGGAAUACAUCGGAAUCUACUUUUUCGCGGGGGAUAACGUAGGGAAACUUACGCUAAUACCGCAUACGACCUACGGGUGAAAGCAGGGGAUCUUCGGACCUUGCGCGAUUGAAUGAGCCGAUGUCGGAUUAGCUAGUUGGCGGGGUAAAGGCCCACCAAGGCGACGAUCCGUAGCUGGUCUGAGAGGAUGAUCAGCCACACUGGAACUGAGACACGGUCCAGACUCCUACGGGAGGCAGCAGUGGGGAAUAUUGGACAAUGGGCGCAAGCCUGAUCCAGCCAUACCGCGUGGGUGAAGAAGGCCUUCGGGUUGUAAAGCCCUUUUGUUGGGAAAGAAAAGCAGCAGGUUAAUACCCCGCUGUUCUGACGGUACCCGAAGAAUAAGCACCGGCUAACUUCGUG